RNAcentral lists this ribosomal RNA (497 nucleotides) under uncultured bacterium. RNAcentral's name for it is "partial 16S ribosomal RNA". It matches the Rfam family "Bacterial small subunit ribosomal RNA", at positions 28 to 507 of the family's 1533-position model. The record is from RNAcentral.
GAUGAACGCUGGCGGCGUGCCUAAUACAUGCAAGUCGAGCGAACAGAUGAGGAGCUUGCUCCUCUGACGUUAGCGGCGGACGGGUGAGCAACACGUGGAUAACCUACCUAUAAGACUGGGAUAACUUCGGGAAACCGGAGCUAAUACCGGAUAAUAUAUUGAACCGCAUGGUUCAAUAGUGAAAGACGGUUUUGCUGUCACUUCUAGAUGGAUCCGCGCCGCAUUAGCUAGUUGGUAAGGUAACGGCUUACCAAGGCAACGAUGCGUAGCCGACCUGAGAGGGUGACCGGCCACACUGGAACUGAGACACGGUCCAGACUCCUACGGGAGGCAGCAGUAGGGAAUCUUCCGCAAUGGUCGAAAGCCUUACGGAGCAACGCCGCGUGAGUUAUGAAGGUCUUCGGAUCGUAAAACUCUGUUAUUAGGGAAGAACAAAUGUGGAAGUAACUAUGCACGUCUUGACGGUACCUAAUCAGAAAGCCACGGCUAACUACGUG